UUGUACACACCGCCCGUCGCUCUUACCGGUGGAUUUCUCUGUGAGUUUGAAGGACUGGCCUUCUGUGCUAUGGAAAUUCAAACGAACAGUGUGAUCUAAAGGAAAGAGAAGUCGUAACAAGGCAUCGGUAGGUGAACCUGCCGAUGGAUCA
Molecule: ribosomal RNA, 151 nt
Filed under: Planoglabratella opercularis
Lineage: Eukaryota; Foraminifera; Rotaliida; Glabratellidae
Description: partial small subunit ribosomal RNA
Rfam family: Eukaryotic small subunit ribosomal RNA
Source: RNAcentral